RNAcentral lists this ribosomal RNA (561 nucleotides) under Anomaloglossus tamacuarensis. RNAcentral describes it as "partial 16S ribosomal RNA". It matches the Rfam family "Bacterial large subunit ribosomal RNA", at positions 1817 to 2597 of the family's 2925-position model. Lineage: Eukaryota; Metazoa; Chordata; Amphibia; Anura; Aromobatidae. The record is from RNAcentral.
CGCCUCUUGAUCAAACUAUAAGAGGUCCAGCCUGCCCAGUGACAUUGUUCAACGGCCGCGGUAUCCUAACCGUGCGAAGGUAGCGUAAUCACUUGUCCUUUAAAUGAAGACUAGUAUGAAUGGCCUCACGAAAGCUAUGCUGUCUCCUUUUUCCAAUCAGUUAAACUAAUCUCCCCGUGAAGAAGCGGGGAUAUAUUUAUAAGACGAGAAGACCCUAUGGAGCUUUAAACAAUUGAAACACUUGCACUUAUUUCCACCCCAUAAUCCACAAUUAACUCCACAUUUUGUUUCUAGUUUUAGGUUGGGGUGACCGCGGAGAAAAAAUCAACCUCCACGUCGAAAGAGACAUCUCUAAACAAAAAGCGACAGCUUUAUGUAUUAACACAUUAACCUUAAUUGACCCAAUAAAUUGAUCAACGAACCAAGUUACCCUAGGGAUAACAGCGCAAUCCAUUUCAAGAGCUCUUAUCGACAAAUGGGUUUACGACCUCGAUGUUGGAUCAGGGUAUCCCAGUGGUGCAGCCGCUUCUAAUGGUUCGUUUGUUCAACGAUUAAAACCCU